This 497-nucleotide ribosomal RNA is filed under the name uncultured bacterium. RNAcentral's name for it is "partial 16S ribosomal RNA". It matches the Rfam family "Bacterial small subunit ribosomal RNA", at positions 28 to 507 of the family's 1533-position model. The record is from RNAcentral.
GAUGAACGCUGGCGGCGUGCCUAAUACAUGCAAGUCGAGCGAACAGACGAGGAGCUUGCUCCUCUGACGUUACCGGCGGACGGGUGAGUAACACGUGGAUAACCUACCUAUAAGACUGGGAUAACUUCGGGAAACCGGAGCUAAUACCGGAUAAUAUAUUGAACGGCAUGGUUCAAUAGUGAAAGACGGUUUUGCUGUCACUUAUAGAUGGAUCCGCGCCGCAUUAGCUAGUUGGUAAGGUAACGGCUUACCAAGGCAACGAUGCGUAGCCGACCUGAGAGGGUGAUCGGCCACACUGGAACUGAGACACGGUCCAGACUCCUACGGGAGGCAGCAGUAGGGAAUCUUCCGCAAUGGGCGAAAGCCUGACGGAGCAACGCCGCGUGAGUGAUGAAGGUCUUCGGAUCGUAAAACUCUGUUAUUAGGGAAGAACAAAUGUGUAAGUAACUAUGCACGUCUUGACGGUACCUACUCAGAAAGCCACGGCUAACUACGUG